UACGUAGGGACCAAGCGUUGUUCGGAUUUACUGGGCGUAAAGGGCGCGUAGGCGGCUUUUCAAGUCAGCCGUGAAAUCUCCGGGCUUAACCUGGAAAAGUCGGUUGAUACUGUUGAGCUAGAGUGUGGAAGAGGCAACUGGAAUUCCGUGUGUAGCGGUGAAAUGCGUAGAUAUACGGAGGAACACCUGCGGCGAAGGCGGGUUGCUGGGCCAACACUGACGCUGAGGCGCGAAAGCUAGGGUAGCAAACGGG
Molecule: ribosomal RNA, 253 nt
Filed under: uncultured prokaryote
Description: partial 16S ribosomal RNA
Rfam family: Bacterial small subunit ribosomal RNA
Source: RNAcentral